GUGGGAGCUGGCUUGCCUGCGACAGCUGUCUAUCAGCUUGCCUAUAGGUUGCUGGCCACCGCAAUCGCAGGCAAGCCAGCUCCCAC
Molecule: unclassified non-coding RNA, 86 nt
Filed under: Pseudomonas libanensis
Lineage: Bacteria; Pseudomonadati; Pseudomonadota; Gammaproteobacteria; Pseudomonadales; Pseudomonadaceae
Source: RNAcentral